This is a long non-coding RNA of Cicer arietinum (chickpea), 348 nucleotides long. RefSeq lists it as uncharacterized. NCBI's taxonomy places the organism in Eukaryota, Viridiplantae, Streptophyta, Magnoliopsida, Fabales, Fabaceae. The record is from RefSeq and is a predicted model, not a curated record.
UGAUAUUUUAUAUGUGAAAAGUAGAAAAAUAUGACUGAAAUUUUCAAAUUUAUUUAUGUUAUGAUUAUCUUUAUUUUUUUUCUUGUAAAUGGCGUAAACAGUUCCGGAAAGUGUGUUCAUUGCUAUGACCACAAAGAAUGUACUGAUCAUUGUCCAAAGUUAAUAGGGUGUUGUUAUAAUUACAUUUGUAAUUGCUAUAAGGAUUUAUCUAAGAAGUGCUAAUUCAAUUAUGAAUUAAUAACUAGUAGUGUCACUUUAAAAAAUAAAAAUUAUAUUACAUCCUCUAAAUUUUGUAUUUAAAUAAUUAAGACCUAUAUUCAAAUUAUUACUGUUUUCGUGUGUGACAUA